Molecule: transfer RNA, 77 nt
Filed under: Salmonella enterica subsp. enterica serovar Newport
Lineage: Bacteria; Pseudomonadati; Pseudomonadota; Gammaproteobacteria; Enterobacterales; Enterobacteriaceae
Description: tRNA-Met
Rfam family: tRNA
About the family: Transfer RNA (tRNA) molecules are approximately 80 nucleotides in length. Their secondary structure includes four short double-helical elements and three loops (D, anti-codon, and T loops).
Source: RNAcentral
GGUUCCAUAGCUCAAGAGGUCAGAGCACUCGGCUCAUAACCGAGAGUGUCCAGGUUCGAAACCGGGUGGAACCACCA